CCUACGGGUGGCAGCAGUGGGGAAUAUUGGGCAAUGGGCGCAAGCCUGACCCAGCAACGCCGCGUGAAGGAAGAAGGCUUUCGGGUUGUAAACUUCUUGUGUCAGGGAAGAGUAGAAGACGGUACCUGACGAAUAAGCCAGGGCUAACUACGUGCCAGCAGCCGCGGUAAUACGUAGGUGGCAAGCGUUGUCCGGAUUUACUGGGUGUAAAGGGCGUGUAGCCGGGUUGACAAGUCAGAUGUGAAAUCCUGCGGCUUAACCGGCGAACUGCAUUUGAAACUGUUGAUCUUGAGUACUGGAGAGGCAGCCGGAAUUCCUAGUGUAGCGGUGAAAUGCGUAGAUAUUAGGAGGAACACCAGUGGCGAAGGCGGUCUGCUGGACAGCAACUGACGGUGAGGCGCGAAAGCGUGGGGAGCAAACAGGAUUAGAUACCCUAGUAGUC
This 442-nucleotide ribosomal RNA is filed under the name uncultured bacterium. Its description in RNAcentral is "partial 16S ribosomal RNA". It matches the Rfam family "Bacterial small subunit ribosomal RNA", at positions 338 to 795 of the family's 1533-position model. The record is from RNAcentral.